This is a long non-coding RNA of Amblyraja radiata (thorny skate), 419 nucleotides long. RefSeq lists it as uncharacterized. The transcript has 3 exons. The record is from RefSeq and is a predicted model, not a curated record. NCBI's taxonomy places the organism in Eukaryota, Metazoa, Chordata, Chondrichthyes, Rajiformes, Rajidae.
UUCAGUUACUGAAUGGCCCAACGUUCACGGUAAUUAUUUAUAAUGAUAUUGGGGCGUCAGAUGUUGAACCUGUUAUUCCAGUUUUCAUUUAUUUUUGGCCAGCAACUUCCUCUUGCCAGAGUAAAGGAGUGUUGCUCGUUUUUAUCACCCCCUGGUCACAGCGGAGAGAGUGAUCCCAGGAGACGGUGCAGCAGAAUGGUAGCAAGAGGAAAAUAUACUUUGAGGAUUUGUAGCAUGGAAGGCAUUUUGUACAGAUUUGAAUAAUGAAAUGAGAACAAACGAGCUGGGACUGUCUGUCAGAGCAGCGGGACGUGUGAAAGGCAGUCACCACCAUGGCUGAUGGAGUGGACCAGGGAGGAGAUCCAGUGGCCUCGACAACGAGGACAGACGACGCUCCUCCAAUGUCUUCGAUGAUGGAG